GAUGAACGCUGGCGGCGUGCUUAACACAUGCAAGUCGAACGGAAAGGCUCCUGCUUGCAGGGGUACUCGAGUGGCGAACGGGUGAGUAACACGUGGGUGAUCUGCCCUGCACUUCGGGAUAAGCCUGGGAAACUGGGUCUAAUACCGGAUAGGACCACAUUUUGGAUGGUGUGGUGGAAAGUUUUUCGGUGUGGGAUGAGCUCGCGGCCUAUCAGCUGUUGGUGGGGGAAUGGCCUACCAAGGCGUCGACGGGUAGCCGGCCUGAGAGGGUGUACGGCCACAUUGGGACUGAGAUACGGCCCAGACUCCUACGGGAGGCAGCAGUGGGGAAUAUUGCACAAUGGGCGCAAGCCUGAUGCAGCGACGCCGCGUGGGGGAUGACGGCCUUCGGGUUGUAAACUCCUUUCGCUAGGGACGAAGCGCAAGUGACGGUACCUGGAGAAGAAGCACCGGCUAACUACGUG
Molecule: ribosomal RNA, 464 nt
Filed under: uncultured bacterium
Lineage: Bacteria
Description: partial 16S ribosomal RNA
Rfam family: Bacterial small subunit ribosomal RNA
Source: RNAcentral